GAUGAAGAACGUAGCGAAAUGCGAUAAGUAAUGUGAAUUGCAGAAUUCAGUGAAUCAUCGAAUCUUUGAACGCACAUUGCGCCCGCCAGUAUUCUGGCGGGCAUGCCUGUUCGAGCGUCAUUUCAACCAUCAAGCCCCCGGCUUGUGUUGGGGACCUGCGGCUGCCGCAGGCCCUGAAAACCAGUGGCGGGCUCGCUAGUCACUCCGAGCGUAGUAAUACAUCUCGCUCAGGGCGUGCUGCGGGUUCCGGCCGUUAAAAGCCUUAUUUACCCAAGGUUGACCUCGGAUCAGGUAGGAAGACCCGCUGAACUUAAGCAUAUCAAUAAGCGGAGGA
RNAcentral lists this unclassified non-coding RNA (334 nucleotides) under soil metagenome. RNAcentral's name for it is "partial contains 5.8S ribosomal RNA, internal transcribed spacer 2, and large subunit ribosomal RNA". The stretch from base 1 to 120 matches the Rfam family "5.8S ribosomal RNA", at positions 35 to 154 of the family's 154-position model. The record is from RNAcentral.